RNAcentral lists this ribosomal RNA (495 nucleotides) under uncultured bacterium. RNAcentral's name for it is "partial 16S ribosomal RNA". It matches the Rfam family "Bacterial small subunit ribosomal RNA", at positions 28 to 507 of the family's 1533-position model. The record is from RNAcentral.
GACGAACGCUGGCGGCGUGCCUAAUACAUGCAAGUCGAGCGGAACCAUUGGAGCUUGCUCCUUUGGUUUAGCGGCGGACGGGUGAGUAACACGUGGGCAACCUGCCCUGCAGAUCGGGAUAACUCCGGGAAACCGGUGCUAAUACCGAAUAGUUUGCGGCCUCUCAUGAGGCUGCACGGAAAGACGGUUUCGGCUGGCACUGCAGGAUGGGCCCGCGGCUCAUUAGCUAGUUGGGGGGGUAACGGCUCACCAAGGCCACGAUGCGUAGCCGACCUGAGAGGGGGAUCGGCCACACGGGGACUGAGAAACGGCCCAGACUCCUGCGGGAGGAAGCAGUAGGGAAUCUUCCGCAAUGGACGAAAGUCUGACGGAGCAACGCCGCGUGAGUGAAGAAGGUUUUCGGAUCGUAAAACGCUGUUGUGAGGGAAGAACAAGUACCAAGUAACUACUGGUACCUUGACGGUACCUCAACAGAAAGCCACGGCUAACUACGUG